GGGGGGGGGGGGGGGGGGGGGGGGGGCGGGCAGGGCGGGCGAAGAGAGGAGGAGCUUGCUCCUCGGACGUGAGCGGCGGACGGGGGAGUAGCACGUGGAUAACCUAGCUAUAAGACUGGGAUAACGUCGGGAAACCGGAGCUAAUACCGGAUAAGAUAUUGAACCGCGUGGUUCACUCGUGAAAGACGGUGUUGCUGUCACGGAUAGAUGGAUCCGCGCCGCAUUAGCUAGUUGGUAAGGUAACGGCUUAACAAGGCGACGAUGCGUAGCCGACCUGAGAGGGUGAUCGGCAACACUGGAACUGAGACACGGUCCCGACUCCUACGGGAGGCAGCAGUAGGGAAUCUUCCGCAAUGGGCGAAAGCCUGACGGAGCAACGCCGAGUGAGUGAUGAAGGUCUUCGGAUCGUAAAACUCUGUUAUUAGGGAAGAACAAAUGUGUAAGUAACUAUGCACGUCUUGACGGUACCUAAUCAGAAAGCCACGGCUAACUACGUG
This 497-nucleotide ribosomal RNA is filed under the name uncultured bacterium. Its description in RNAcentral is "partial 16S ribosomal RNA". It matches the Rfam family "Bacterial small subunit ribosomal RNA", at positions 38 to 507 of the family's 1533-position model. The record is from RNAcentral.